GCCAAAACUCUGUCAAUUUGAUUCUACAAAGCACACUGAAUUUCUGCACUGAUUUGAUACAUCUUAGAAAUUCAUAGUCUAGAGUCUUUACUGUAUUGUUUUGUGAACACCACUGAUUGUAUAUCAAGUGUUCAACUCAAACUCAAUUCUCUGUAUUUUUGUUUGAUUAGAAGUCUCUUGCCUGCGUGCUUGAACAUUAGAAGUCUCUUGCUUAGUGCUUGAGCAUUGGAAGACUCUUGCGUGUGUGCUUGAGCAUUUUUGUGAAGUCUCAUACUUAGAAAGUAUUGAGCAGUUGUAAUCUUUGUGAUUAUAGUGAAAUCUCCUUGGAAGUGCAAGGGGGACUGGACUACUUCCGUGUUGUGGAAGGAACCAGGAUAACUGUUUGUGUCUUUGUCUUUCUUUUC
Molecule: long non-coding RNA, 404 nt
Filed under: Medicago truncatula (barrel medic)
Lineage: Eukaryota; Viridiplantae; Streptophyta; Magnoliopsida; Fabales; Fabaceae
Description: long non-coding RNA (MTRU_LNC001819)
Source: RNAcentral